Molecule: small nuclear RNA, 102 nt
Organism: Lutra lutra (Eurasian river otter)
Lineage: Eukaryota; Metazoa; Chordata; Mammalia; Carnivora; Mustelidae
Source: RefSeq, a predicted model, not a curated record
GAAUUUCAGCAGCACAUAUUCUAAAAUUGAAAUGAUACAGAGAAGAUUGGCAUGGCCCCACACAAAGAUGACACACAAAUUCAUGAAGUGUUCCAUAUUUUU